RNAcentral lists this ribosomal RNA (495 nucleotides) under uncultured bacterium. RNAcentral describes it as "partial 16S ribosomal RNA". It matches the Rfam family "Bacterial small subunit ribosomal RNA", at positions 28 to 505 of the family's 1533-position model. The record is from RNAcentral.
GAUGAACGCUGGCGGCGUGCCUAAUACAUGCAAGUCGAGCGAACGGACGAGAAGCUUGCUUCUCUGAUGUUAGCGGCGGACGGGUGAGUAACACGUGGAUAACCUACCUAUAAGACUGGGAUAACUUCGGGAAACCGGAGCUAAUACCGGAUGAUAUUUUGAACCGCAUGGUUCAAAAGUGAAAGACGGUCUUGCUGUCACUUAUAGAUGGAUCCGCGCUGCAUUAGCUAGUUGGUAAGGUAACGGCUUACCAAGGCAACGAUGCAUAGCCGACCUGAGAGGGUGAUCGGCCACACUGGAACUGAGACACGGUCCAGACUCCUACGGGAGGCAGCAGUAGGGAAUCUUCCGCAAUGGGCGAAAGCCUGACGGGGCAACGCCGCGUGAGUGAUGAAGGUCUUCGGAUCGUAAAACUCUGUUAUUAGGGAAGAACAUAUGUGUAAGUAACUGUGCACAUCUUGACGGUACCUAAUCAGAAAGCCACGGCUAACUACG